UGAGGGAAUAUUGGGGACAAUGGAUGGAAAUCUGAUCCAGCCAUGCCGCGUGCAGGAAGACGGCCCUAUGGAUUGUAAACUGCUUUAGCAUGGGAGCAAUAAGGUGUACGCGUACACCGAUGAGAGUACCAUGAGAAUAAGCACCGGCUAACUCCGUGCCAGCAGCUGCGGUAAUACGGAAGGUCCGGGCGUUAUCCGGAUUUAUUGGGUUUAAAGGGAGCGUAGGCCGGAGAUUAAGCGUGUUGUGAAAUGUAGUGGCUCAACCUCUGCACUGCAGCGCGAACUGGUCUUCUUGAGUACGCACAACGUGGGCGGAAUUCGUGGUGUAGCGGUGAAAUGCUUAGAUAUCACGAAGAACUCCGAUUGCGAAGGCAGCUCACGGGAGCGCAACUGACGCUGAAGCUCGAAAGUGCGGGUAUCGAACAGGAUUAGAUACCCUGGUAGU
Molecule: ribosomal RNA, 445 nt
Filed under: uncultured Prevotella sp.
Lineage: Bacteria; Pseudomonadati; Bacteroidota; Bacteroidia; Bacteroidales; Prevotellaceae
Description: bacterial SSU rRNA
Rfam family: Bacterial small subunit ribosomal RNA
Source: RNAcentral